RNAcentral lists this ribosomal RNA (440 nucleotides) under uncultured bacterium. RNAcentral describes it as "bacterial SSU rRNA". It matches the Rfam family "Bacterial small subunit ribosomal RNA", at positions 8 to 436 of the family's 1533-position model. The record is from RNAcentral.
AGAGUUUGAUCCUGGCUCAGGACGAACGCUGGCGGCGUGCCUAACACAUGCAAGUCCAGCGAAGUAGGAUGUGUUCUUCGGAAUGCGUUNCUACUUAGCGGCGGACGGGUGAGUAACGCGUGAGGAACCUGCCUCUCACAGAGGGAUAGCCUCGGGAAACUGAGGGUCAUACCUCAUGAGACUUAUGUACCGCAUGGUAUAUAAGUUAAAGCGAUUUAGCGGUGAGAGAUGGCCUCGCGUCCCAUUAGCUAGUUGGUGAGGUAACGGCUCACCAAGGCGACGAUGGGUAGCCGGCCUGAGAGGGUGGACGGCCACACUGGAACUGAGACACGGUCCAGACUCCUACGGGAGGCAGCAGUGGGGGAUAUUGCACAAUGGGGGAAACCCUGAUGCAGCGACGCCGCGUGAGCGAAGAAGGCCUUCGGGUCGUAAAGCUCUGU